RNAcentral lists this long non-coding RNA (1376 nucleotides) under Monodelphis domestica (gray short-tailed opossum). RNAcentral's name for it is "lncRNA (ENSMODG00000031301.2)". Lineage: Eukaryota; Metazoa; Chordata; Mammalia; Didelphimorphia; Didelphidae. The record is from RNAcentral.
UGAAGUAGCUCAAAAGAUAUAACUAAAAGUAUGGGCAGUCCUGGAGAAAGCCUUUGAUAUGAUUGGUAGAUGUGAAAAUUUAGAGGUGGAGACACAAAGGUCUUUGGGAUUUUUUAAUCUUUUAAAAACUCUUUCCCCAGAAAGUUGAAUCUGGCUGAUCACUUCUUAUGAGCAGCCUGGACACCAAUUCGAUCCUGGAACUCAGCCUGGAGGAACUCACUCAUACAGCUUCCUUGAGAUGGUCUCCUGUCCCAAGACAUCAGAGAGGAGCAGAACUAUGAACUAUGUGAAAUCCCAGGAGGAAGGCUUCUACUAGAAUAACUUUGGAAGUAUGGAUAAAGCACUCUACGGGAGAGUUAGAAAGUUCUGGGUUUGAGUCCCACUUAAAACAUUUCUUAGUUAAGUAACUCUGGGUAAGUCAAUUGGCUCUUUGAACCUCAUUUUCCUCCACUUAGGGUUGUCCUAAGGAUCAAAAAAGAUGAUACACAGGAGGCAAAAUAUAAUGAAGUGUAUUCAACCAAUAUGAAUGUCAACUAUAUUAACUACAGGACAGGUAGGUGAAUAGAGUAUUGCAUCUAAAGUUAAGAAGAUUCAUUUUCUUGAAUUAAAUUCUGACUUCACACACUAGUUGUAUGAUCCUGGGUAUGUCACAACCCCUUUGCCCCAAUUUCUUCAUCUAUAUAAUGAGAUAGAGAAGGAAAAGGCAAACUGUUUGCCAAAGAAACUGACAUUGGGGUCAGAACAAUUUGAAUACAAUUGAAAUGCCUGAACAGCAAAAAUAAUUCAUACCAAGGGGUUGGGUGAAUAAUGAAAAAUUUUAUAAAGAUGUCAAACAUUAAAGGAUUGGAUGAAAAUUUAACAAGCCAAAAAUACUAGGGAGAACAGAUUAGGUGAAGUGGUCUAGACAAGCAAGAGUAUGGAGGUGAAGAGUAUAGAAUCACUCUGGUGAACCUAUGGCACAUGUACUAGAAGGGGUUUCUCCCUUUCCCCUCUCCACAAGCACCUAAGGACAUUUCUCACAUCACCUGCCAAUCUACCCAGCAGCCCAACAGGAGUGCUUCCUCCCUCUCCUGUCUGUGGUAAGGCAUGGGACUCACAAGUGGCAUGAGGGUUACAGUCUAAAAGAUUUUCCAUCUCUGACAUAUUUGAGGGGAAAUGCAAAAUGUCUACAUUUUGAAAGAAAGUACUAGAAAAUAAUUAGAAAUAAGAUUGGAAAGAUAGAGUGGAUGGAUAGACUCUGAAUGCCAGACAAAGGAGAUGACAUUUAGAUGAGAUUUUCUAUUUUGAUUAUCAGAUUAUUUUCACUUCUAGGGUCUCUAAGAUACCAGUCCAUAGUCCUUGAAUAGGAAUAAAAGAUUAGAGAUAGGAGGAUCCCA